Molecule: ribosomal RNA, 329 nt
Filed under: uncultured eukaryote
Lineage: Eukaryota
Description: partial 18S ribosomal RNA
Rfam family: Eukaryotic small subunit ribosomal RNA
Source: RNAcentral
CCCUUAGAUGUCCGGGGCCGCACGCGCGCUACACUGAAGGAAUCAGCGUGGCUUUCUCCCUGACCCGAAAGGGUUGGGAAACCCGUUGAAUCUCCUUCGUGAUAGGGAUUGGGGCUUGAAAUUGUUCCCCAUGAACGAGGAAUUCCCAGUAAGCGCGAGUCAUAAGCUCGCGCUGAAUACGUCCCUGCCCUUUGUACACACCGCCCGUCGCUCCUACCGAUUGAGUGGUCCGGUGAGGCUUUGGGAUCUGAGCGGAAAGAGCGUUUCGCUGUUUCUGCUCGGAAAACUCAGUCGAACCUUAUCAUUUAGAGGAAGGAGAAGUCGUAACA